AACAUCUAGGAUUUUUCUAGGAGCAAGAAGUAACCAAAAAUCUUUGUUGGUGCAAAAGAAGCAGCAAAACACGAAGAAUUGUCUCGGAGAAGUGACACAAAAUGGGUGACAAAGAGUGCAUAUGUGCGUUGUGAAUUGUUAGGCAAAUGAGCUCAUGGAGUGACAAGAAGUGUGACCAUUUGGGCCUCCAAGACACCACACAUAAACUCUAAGAAUUCUGCCGCAAGGCGCGUGGUGAAGAAUGGGCAAUAUUGGUGUGGCGGGAUAAGCCUACACCUCCCCCCGCGCAUACCACCUCAAGGUGCCAAUAAAUCUCAGCGAAGAGAGAGCCUGUCCCGUGUGAUAAAUGAUUUAACUUAAACCGGUCAUGAAUGAGUGUCUCACAGAGGUUAAAUUUAUGGUGCAACAAGAAGAAUUAUUCGUCUGUGGAGAGCGCGCAUAUAAAUUUCAUAAUCACACAAUCUAUUUAUUAGCUGAGUUAUUGGACGCAGAGGGGGUGUCAAAGUAUCACCUUUUUUGUCUGCCUUUCACCUCCGGAUGCUGCUGGAUGCAACAGCCUGCAGGAAUCUCCCACAUUCCACAGCCACCAACCUGCGCAAGGUGGUGCAAGGGAGAUGGCGUGCGUACAUCGCAUAACGUCCAAGGUGGGGGAAAAAUCAACAUGGCAACUGAUGCAGCAACAUACGCGGCUGUAGCUCCAGAAAAGUGAUAGUUUUGUGGGAACAUUUUACAAAAAUCUCGUGAAAAUUCAUCAAAAUACCCAUUAAAGGUGAUUUCUAACUGAAAAUGAGUGAAAAUUCAGUGAAAAUCGUCAAAAAUCUGUGGAAAAUGUCACUGUUGUGUUGGCUGUGCUUCAAAGGGGGCGUUACCUAAUGAUUUAUGACAGAGAGCACUGUGUAAAAGUUUAUUUUGGUUAAUUUUUGGCAGAAAAUUAAGGAAAAUGAAGCCAUCAUUGCCAAUAAGCGUCAUCUAUCUGUCGCACAUUUCAUCCAAAUGCCUCGCCUCUUUGUCCAUGAGGAGGAAUGAAACAACAUAAUGUUCCAGGUUGGAAAACAUCAAGCAUAAGCUGCGCAUGGUAGAGCGAGAUGGAGGUAUGAGUGGAAUACCAUCCCUCUAAAAAAAAACGAGAAAGCCCAAUAGAGCCGCCGCAGAAGGAAGAAACGUCCCUAUAUAUGCCAUGGAGGAUAGAAGAAAACCCUCACGAAGGAACUCCAUGGUCGUAAAGUAGGAGAAAGUGAUAAAAAUAAUCAAAUUAUUCUCACGACAAGUGUUUCACCCUCUGUGUGCUCUUGUACGGGGGGUUGUGGGGGUGGUAUGAAAUAAAUUCCUUGGGUGAGUGAGAAGAGCCCCUAAAAAACGGCAGACCCUGAAAAAUCCAAAGUGGUGUGUGCCGAUGAAAGUCAAACUGAGAAUGCCAACAAGUGCAGAAGAGAAGCGCGCCAGUAGCCAGAUGAGCAUGGGUCGUGUGUUUGGUAAAAUUUUACUACUUUUUUACGAUCUUUUUAUGUGCUUUAAAGCGGUUCGUUUUUCAUUACAACACACACGAUAGCGCCGGGGCACAGAGAGGGGUUUUCCAACACCGUAUUAUAAACAAUUCUAGUUAUACUAAAUAGACAUCAAACGCUCUCCAAAAUGGAUUUUUAUGAGGUGUUUAGCCGUUUAUUUUGAUGGUUUCGGGUGGUCGUAAAAUCAACUGUGUUGUGCUUGGUGCUCCUCUCAACGAGCCCCGUGAUUUAUGCCAUCAAAAAAGUGACAUUAUUAAUUAAUUUCCACUCAUGAUAGAGUCACUUUUCGGGCAUGUUGUUUAUUUAUUAUCUCACGCGGGGCCUUUUUAUUUCCUUCUCUCCGCCGAAUGUCAAUUUGUAUUCUCAACCACCUUGUUUGAUGGCCCCUUAAUUGCCAUAAACAUGCACUUUUAUGAUCAAAUAAACUUUAUGUUCCGUCAAUCAGCAUGGUGUUUUUAUUUUUAUGUACUUACAGCUCCCGCCCCAAUUUUCCCACGCCCUGUUUAUACCUACAAGUAUUGUGGAUUGAGAUUAUGUGGGGAAAAAUAAAUGGAAGGAAUGUUUCUUUCUUUGCCUCUUUUUUGCUUCUUUUAGAAGGGAUUUUACUGAAUUAAGAAAAUUAAAAGAGACUUGAAAGAUUUUUUGGAAAUGUUAAAAUUUGAUUUUGAAGAAGUUAAAAUCUUUUAAAUUAAUUGUAAUAAAAAUCCCUUAAGGAAAAAGGUGAAAAUUCAUCAUUUUUUCUUAAUUUCAACGAGUAAAUUUAAUUGAAAAUUCACCCAAUUAAUUAUAACUUUAUCAAAAUUAUUUUUUAAACAAAUGAUUGUUUAUUUCCAAAGAAUUAAAUCACAGACAAUAUAGAUGUUGACAUCCUAUACGAAUUAAUGGCACCAGGCGUCUCCAUCUUGCUUUUCUAUCGCUUUGAGCUAUAAUCAAAAUGAAUUUCCGGGAUAACAUUUAGGACUCAUCAAUUCUUUAGAUUAUUUUUCGUAUUUAGAGUCUCAAAACUGGUACCAGGCGUCUCCAUCGUAAUUUCUGUUCUUUGUUUAGCCAAAGUUCAAUCUGUGUGCUUAACUAAACUUUGCAUAUUAAAAAAAAAUCAGGUCAAAGGAAUGUUUAGAAAAUAAUCUUUUUGCUAAAAAAAAAUGAGAAAUCAAAAUGGAGACGCCUGGUGGUUAUCAAGAGAAAGAUCUUUGAUAAAAUAUUGCCUUUCAAUUUCCUGAAAACUUUUGAAAAUAAACUCAAAACAGUUAGUUAUGCUUUAUUUGAUCUCAU
This is a long non-coding RNA of Lutzomyia longipalpis, 2777 nucleotides long. RefSeq lists it as uncharacterized. The record is from RefSeq and is a predicted model, not a curated record. The transcript is spliced from 4 exons. NCBI's taxonomy places the organism in Eukaryota, Metazoa, Arthropoda, Insecta, Diptera, Psychodidae.